GGUGGGGGACAGAGUGGGUGGGGAGGGGAGCCGCCAUACAGUGGCCAGGACCAGCUUUGCCCAAGUGGUGGCAACCGCAUGACCACAGGAACGAUGGCGUGAGCCCCGUGGCAACCUGGAGGAAGGGGUGUGAGAAGAAAACAUUAGAACUUCUAUUUUGUACCUGUGUUACUCCACAACAAGAAAGCAAUCAGCUUGAUCAAUGCCUACUGUAAAGACGGCACCGCCCUCCGGAGGUCCUUUCUCAGCCCUGGUGUUCGGACAGCCACAUCCCCUCGCAGCAGGGGGAGGCCUGAAGCAUAGAGGGGCCCAUGCAGGUCUAUUCUGUUUCAGCGAAUUGCCUGGGAAAUAAUCCAGGAUCCAUUUCGUGUGGUCAUCUUGUCUCCCUGGUCCCCUCCAGCCUUUCCUCAUCUUUUGUGACCUGGUCACUCUGGAAGGGCGCUGGCCAGUUAGUCCACAGGAUGGGCCUCCCCUGGGGCUUUUCUGAUGCUUCCUUAUGAUGGCACUGGCAUCCUGAGGGGGAGGACCACAGAGAGGAGGUGCUCCUCAUCACACCACAUGGGGGUCCAUGCACCAGUGCCACUGCUUUCCAGGGCUCUUCACCUUCAUCACUGGUGGAGGUGGCGUCUGCCAAGAAGCAGAAAGUUGAGGCUUAGAAGGUGCACGGCCCUACCUCUUCCGAGGUGCCCCUGCGGGCUGUCUACAGACCAGGCAGCACAUGCCUGAUAGCAGCUGCAUAAGGAAAAGCAGGAGCCAGCUCGUGCACAGUGGCCUCAAGUGUGCACUGGGCAUGUUCUCUGCCUCACCAUCCCUGUGUGACAGAUGAAGCUUCAAGGACCACAGAGGGCCAAGUGCAGGAGUAAGAGGCUGGCGUGCUGACAGUGGCCAAGGGCAUUGGAGGGAAGGACCUGUCAUCACUGGGCCAAGGAAGGAACUCCAGACUGCCUACUUCCAGAGGGCCUGCUGAGAACCCCAAAGAGCUCUCUCAACAAACACACCCACGAGUUCCAGGAGUGAGGCUGCAGGGAACAGCCUCACUCUCAGAGGGGAUACAGAAUUGUUCCACUGGACAAGGGCUGGGAUCGUCAUAGGAUGCCGUUGGCCUGUGGUUUCCAACAGAGGUGCAGUUCAUUGAACUGUGGUCUACAGUCCAUUCUCUAACUUGGGGACCCUUGAAGAAGUGUGGAAUCAUGACAACAACCCUGUUGGGAGACACUAUUAUUCCCAUCACAUGGAUGAGCACACGGAGGCAAAAGGAAGUUAUAUGAUUGUCUGAGAUCACCCAGUGAAGACUGUGUGGCUGGGAGUUGUCCCCAGUGUUAUCUGCACGCUGCUUCCUUUUGAUGCCUGGCCCUUCUUUAUCAAAAGAAGCAUUGGCAGAAUCUGGGUGUUUAUGGGUCAGCUCAAAAUAAAUUACUUUAUAUGUCAUU
This 1430-nucleotide long non-coding RNA is filed under the name Homo sapiens (human). RNAcentral's name for it is "long intergenic non-protein coding RNA 1471". The record is from RNAcentral. Lineage: Eukaryota; Metazoa; Chordata; Mammalia; Primates; Hominidae.